This 253-nucleotide ribosomal RNA is filed under the name uncultured bacterium. RNAcentral describes it as "partial 16S ribosomal RNA". It matches the Rfam family "Bacterial small subunit ribosomal RNA", at positions 524 to 776 of the family's 1533-position model. The record is from RNAcentral.
CACGGGGGGAGCAAGCGUUGUUCGGAAUCACUGGGCGUAAAGGGCGUGUAGGCGGUUCGGUAAGUGGAAUGUGAAAUGCUCCGGCUCACCCGGAGUACUGCAUCCCAAACUGCCGAGCUUGAGUAUGGGAGAGGAUGAGGGAAUUCCUGGUGUAGCGGUGAAAUGCGUAGAUAUCAGGAGGAACACCGGUGGCGAAGGCGCUCAUCUGGCCCAAUACUGACGCUGAGGCGCGAAAGCUAGGGGAGCAAACGGG